AGAUACUGCAGACAGAGCAAUCAGGACACACAGACAGUAACAUAAACAUACUAAGUCGAGACAGGAAUUGACAACAAAGCAUUUACAAAACAGCAGCAAUUUCAGGCCACCUGGUCAGGAUAUGAAUGGCACUUCCUUAACAUCAAUCCCAUACCUGAACAAGAAGGAAAGUGAAGGAUGUGGAGCUUAAAACUAACAGGGUAAAACUCAUGAGAGAGAAGUGUGAAGCCUUUCAUUUUGGCGGAGGAUCAAUUACACAAGUAGAGGCUGGGGCAACUGCUGCUUGACACAGAUGAUGGAUGUUGGCUGAGCCUGUCGUGGUGGUCAUUUGGAAGCCUAUGUAAAUCGAGCCAUCACACUGUAUACCUGAAACUUGUAUGGUGCCUGCACCGGUGCAUGGGUUCAGCUGGUUCCAGUGUCCCUGGCUCAGCAUCUCCUGCCAGGCUGCAAACAGGAUGUCCUCUGGGACUGCAGUCAUUGCAAAGCCCAACAGGGAAGGAUCGGCUUCCAGUCUCACUCAGAUGGUUGUUGGCAGGAUUCAGUGGCUCCUCGGUUGUUGGAAUGACUGUCUCAGUUCAGACUGGCUGUUGGCCAAGAGUCCACCUUCAGUUCUUUGUCACACCAGUCUCACCAUAGGCCAGCUCACACAUGGCAACUUGCUUCAUUGGAACAAGUACGCCAGGAGAGCCAGAGAGAAUUAAGCAAGGAUGAGGUCACAGUCUUUUAUAACCUAAUGUCUAUAUGACUCCCAUCACUGCUGUUACUCUUCAGAGAAAGCCUCUUCUAUUCUAGUCCAUUCUUUAGAAGCUAGUCAUUAGGUCCAGCUCACAUAUGGGGAGGGGGUAGGACUACAUAAAGGUGUUACUAUCAGGAGUUGGGGGCCGCUGAGAGCCAUGUCAGAAAGCUGCCUACCAUUGGCAGAGCACUGUAUACAAAUCUGGGGGGAUAGCAUUCCAGAUGUUGGGAAUAGCAAUGCAAAGACCAUAGCAAUUUUGAGGUGCAGAAAUGGGGCUGGAAUGAAAUCAGGAAAAGGAAGCGGAGCUUGAAAAGUAGGCAGGGGCCCGAUCCUGGGUCACUUGGAACUGUUCAGGUCCUGGUAGUUUGGAUUUGAUUAGGAGCAGUGAAGACAAUUCCUUGGAAGGAUUUGAGCAGAAGAGGCUAAACUAACCUUUCUUUUAUGAAACUGGAAUGAUAGUAAAUGGCACAGUCUAUUCAUUUACUUGGUUUCAUCUACUUUUAAUGACCUUCCUAAGGGGAAGCUGGCAAUUAAAUCCGUGUCAGUUGUUCUCUAUAUUAAAAAGUUUUAUUGGUUCCUACCACCCUGAAUCUGACAAGCUAGUGAUCUAUAAGGAAGUGAUGCAAAAUGAUAGAUUUGUUAGCAUGUGGGUCCCCUAUGUUGCAUUUGGGGAAGAAGGCCCACUAAUUUAUUAUUAUUAUUAUCAUUAUCAUUUAUUAUGAUUUUGCCAUCAUUCACUGCAAUCAAAUGAGCUUGUCUCAUCACAACCUCAAGCAAAAGUCCGGGAACCACAGGGAUUUGGACGGAAGUGAAGGUGAUCCUGACUGUGUAUGUGGAGCCACCAGCGAAGUUCAUCCAUAGCCCAGGGAUGUGCAGGGAAUGGAGGGGCUACUUCCUCCCAGAGAACCAACACACUUAAAUUGCUAAAUCCUUCUCCCUAGGCAUCUGGGUCAGUUAAUCCCAGCCCAGGGCCACCAGCUGAGCUCUUCCCUGGCCAAGCUGCCCUGCUUUGAAAUUCUCCCCCAGGCCACCUCGCCCAAUGAUGUCAGCAGGGGUGAGCGCCCUGCCGGCCCUCCCCUCUCACAAGAUGAUGUGCAAGGGGAAACGGACUCUGUCUGUGCUCAGGAAACAUCUGGUCGAUCCGCUAGUCCUCAAGCGGGUCUCUGGCUGUUCUGUAAAUUAGGGGAACAGAAUAGGAUGGGAAGACAUGGAGCUUCAGUGAUUAGCCAACCUCGACAGCAAGUUACAAGCUGAAAGGAGAUGUGAGGAAACGGCCUCCCUGGCAGGCCCUCUCCAGGGACCCGGCACCACUGCCACAUGGUCACAUUUCCCAGCUUGUAAUGGAAAACAAAGGCUGUUUACAAGAGCUUAAAGUAGCUGGAAUGGGAACAGGAGCCAAGCGGUAUAGUGGAGGCUGAGCUUCUACUUGGAAGCUUUCAGCAGUCCAGUAAUUAUUCAGUACCAGGCCUGAAGGGCAGGCUCCUGAUGAGGACUAUUACUCUCUCUCCCGUGGAAAAUGAAACACCACAUUCACUGGUAAGCAGAAUCCAUGACCACGUAAAAACAGAUCCAGCCCCUCGUUAAGUGUUUGACAUAAAACAAAACUUGCUGUAUGUCCUCCCUGAGCUCUAAGUACCCUUUUUGUCCUGCUUGGUAUCCACUGGCUUUUUCUCGGUUUAUGAACCACUAGAGACAAAUCAGGUAAGAUAGAUAGGAGAAAAUGGACUUGGUGUGCUGCCCUCUCCCCCACCCACCUCCCUACCUGUCCCUGGGGGAAUACAGGUUUUCUGAACCGUCAGGAUUCUGGCCUGCAAAUGAAAAGCUCUUCUCUUCUCCUUCUGCUUUGCCUGCUGCCUCUCUCCCCUCCUCCAGUUAAAUCAAUAAGACCUUUCCCGUCUGGGUUUUCAGAUAGUCGGUGUAAGUCUUCAAGAGAGUCGAGUCAAAAUGCAUAGCAAAAAAGGAAUUUUUUUAAUUUCUAAGUACAAAGGCAAAACCAAGAAACCCUGAAAGACAAAGUAAUUCUAGCUUUAAAACAUUUCUAAAACUUCAUUUGUUCUCAAAGUUCACUCUUCGGUGAGAAUUAGGUGGAACACAGGAUCGAGCAUACCCUUUUUUGGUGCCCAUCUUUCUGACAUAGCGCUCAAACUGAGGUCAUGGGGCUUUAGGAUUGUAGCUCUACCAUGGAGUCAUCCGUUCCUUCAGAAGAUGGUUUUAAUAGUUUUUGUGUUCUAUAUAUGGAGAAUAUAGUUAGGAGCAAGACAAGGUUCCAUGCUCUCUCAGUCUUCAUACAUGAACAACGAGGAAAUGACCUGAUGUGUGCAAAGUGCUAAGCUUGUGCCUGACAUUUCAUAAGUGGCCGAUAAAUGCUGGCUAUUCUUGGUUAUUACCCCCAAUUUCCCCUAUCUGUCUGUUUCUCUCUCCAGCAGUGCUUUGCCUCAGAAUAUCCCGUCUGUCUGUGAAGACAAUCCUUCCUAAUUUCUGUCCAAAUUCAAGAUUUAUCAUAAGAAACUGGCUCACAGGAUUAUAUGGGCUGAGAUGUCCCAAGAACAUUUGAGAGACUACUUUAAAGUAGACCUAUCAUAAAAUACAGUUAUUGAGGAAAAGCUCAUUUAUAAACUUUUGUCUUACAUAUAUCUUAAUUUACUUGGCCAUAAUAAUUAUACUUAGAUUACUCAGAAAACUUCUAGAGACAUUAAAUAGCUGGCCAUCUAAAAUUGCCUUCUGACAAAUUCUGUCACAGAAUUUGAUGUGAAUGAAACAUAAGCUUAUUUGACUUCUGGUAAACUGAGGAAGAAUAAAAGUAUUAUAUUUAAUACUGGGAACUCUCAAGAUCUCCCUGUUUCAAUUAAACCAAUAAACCUAAAUUAGCUUUUAUUUACUGAGGACUAUCCUAGAUCAUGUGAACUUGCCAAAUAUUUGGGUUAGUUUCUGUAUUUAUCAGAGUAUAUUUAUAUAAUGCUUAUUUGUCUUUUAGCCAGUAUAUAGAACACUUCAUCGAUUAACUUGACAGGUUAAAAAUACAACCACCCUACAGUCCAGCAAUUACACUACUAGGUAAUUACCCAAAGGGAUACAUGCACCCUGAUGUUUGUAGCACCGUUAUCUACAAUCGCCAAAUUAUGGAAAUAGCCCAAGUGUCCCCAACUAAUGAAUGGAUAAAGAAGAUGUGAUGUCUAUAUUUUAAAUGGAAUACUAUUCAGCCAUAA
This is a long non-coding RNA of Canis lupus familiaris (dog), 3942 nucleotides long. RefSeq lists it as uncharacterized. Lineage: Eukaryota; Metazoa; Chordata; Mammalia; Carnivora; Canidae. The record is from RefSeq and is a predicted model, not a curated record. The transcript has 4 exons.